GAGGAUAUUCCGCAAUGGACGAAAGUCUGACGGAGCAACGCCGCGUGAGUGAUGAAGGUUUUCGGACUGUAAAACUCUGUUGUUUAGGACGAAAGUGCCUGUUGCAAAUAGUUGCAGGUAUUGACGGUACUGAACGAGGAAGCCACGGCUAACUACGUGCCAGCAGCCGCGGUAAUACGUAGGUGGCAAGCGUUGUCCGGAAUUAUUGGGCGUAAAGAGCAUGUAGGUGGAUACUUAAGUCUGUUGUGAAAAUGCGGGGCUCAACCCCGUAUUGCGAUGGAAACUGGGUGUCUUGAGUGCAGGAGAGGAAAGGGGAAUUCCCAGUGUAGCGGUGAAAUGCGUAGAUAUUGGGAGGAACACCAGUGGCGAAGGCGCCUUUCUGGACUGUGUCUGACACUGAGAUGCGAAAGCUAGGGGAGCGAAC
Molecule: ribosomal RNA, 424 nt
Filed under: uncultured prokaryote
Description: bacterial SSU rRNA
Rfam family: Bacterial small subunit ribosomal RNA
Source: RNAcentral